UUCCCUACGGGACGCAGCAGUGGGGGAUAUUGCACAAUGGGGGAAACCCUGAUGCAGCGACGCCGCGUGAGUGAAGAAGUAUUUCGGUACGUAAAGCUCUAUCAGCAGGGAAGAAUAAUGACGGUACCUGACUAAGAAGCCCCGGCUAACUACGUGCCAGCAGCCGCGGUAAUACGUAGGGGGCAAGCGUUAUCCGGAUUUACUGGGUGUAAAGGGAGCGUAGGUGGCAAGGCAAGUCAGAUGUGAAAACCCGGGGCCCAACCCCGGGAGUGCAUUUGAAACUGUCUGGCUAGAGUGCAGGAGAG
Molecule: ribosomal RNA, 305 nt
Filed under: uncultured bacterium
Lineage: Bacteria
Description: bacterial SSU rRNA
Rfam family: Bacterial small subunit ribosomal RNA
Source: RNAcentral